Molecule: long non-coding RNA, 201 nt
Filed under: Homo sapiens (human)
Lineage: Eukaryota; Metazoa; Chordata; Mammalia; Primates; Hominidae
Description: HSALNT0083169
Source: RNAcentral
UAUGUGCAGGUGCCUGGCCUCAGUGGCAGCAGUGCCUGCCUGCUGGUGUUAGUGUGUCAGGAGACUGAGUGAAUCUGGGCUUAGGAAGUUCUUACCCCUUUUCGCAUCAGGAAGUGGUUUAACCCAACCACUGUCAGGCUCGUCUGCCCGCCCUCUCGUGGGGUGAGCAGAGCACCUGAUGGAAGGGACAGGAGCUGUCUG